RNAcentral lists this ribosomal RNA (254 nucleotides) under uncultured bacterium. RNAcentral's name for it is "partial 16S ribosomal RNA". It matches the Rfam family "Archaeal small subunit ribosomal RNA", at positions 474 to 727 of the family's 1478-position model. The record is from RNAcentral.
UACCAGCACCCCGAGUGGUCGGGACGAUUAUUGGGCCUAAAGCAUCCGUAGCCGGCCUUACAAGUCCUCCGUUAAAUCCAGCUGCUUAACAGAUGGGCUGCGGAGGAUACUAUAAGACUAGGAGGCAGGAGAGGCAAGCGGUACUCAGUGGGUAGGGGUAAAAUCCGUUGAUCCAUUGAAGACCACCAGUGGCGAAGGCGGCUCACUGGCCCGAUACUGACGCUGGAGGCACGAAAGCGUGGGGAGCAAACAGG